This 886-nucleotide ribosomal RNA is filed under the name uncultured archaeon. RNAcentral's name for it is "bacterial SSU rRNA". It matches the Rfam family "Archaeal small subunit ribosomal RNA", at positions 23 to 914 of the family's 1478-position model. The record is from RNAcentral.
GCCACUGCUAUUGGGAUCCGACUAAGCCAUGCGAGUCGAGAGGGUUCGGCCCUCGGCAGACUGCUCAGUAACACGUGGAUAAUCUACCCUUAGGUGGAGGAUACUCUCGGGAAACUGAGAAUAAUACUCCAUAGGUCUAGGAUGCUGGAAUGCACCUAGGUUGAAAGUUCCGGCGCCUAAGGACGAGUCUGCGGACUAUCAGGUAGUAGUCAGGGUAAAGACCUGACUAGCCUACGACGGAUACGGGUUGUGAGAGCAAUAGCCCGGAGACGAUAUCUGAGACACGAUAUCGGGCCCUACGGGGCGCAGCAGGCGCGAAAUCUUCACAAUGUGCGAAAGCACGAUGAGGGGAUCCCAAGUGUUGGUUCGUAAGAGUCAUCUGUUUCUUUGUCUAAAAAACAGAGAGAGUAAGAGCUGGGUAAGACGGGUGCCAGCCGCCGCGGUAAUACCUGCAGCUCAAGUGGUGGCCGCUAUUAUUGGGCCUAAAACGUCCGUAGCCGGUUUAGUAAAUGCCUGGGUAAAUUGUGUAGCUCAACUAUACGAAUACCGGGUAGACUGCUAAACUUGAAACCGGGAGAGGCUAGAGGUACUCCUAGGGUAGAGGUGAAAUUCUGUAAUCCUAGGGGGACCACCAGUGGCGAAGGCGUCUAGCUAGAACGGGUUUGACGGUGAGGGACGAGGCCCUGGGGCGCAAACCGGAUUAGAUACCCGGGUAGUCCAGGGUGUAAACGCUGCUCGCUUGAUGUUAGUCGGGCUCCGAGCCCAACUAGUGUCGGAGAGAAGUUGUUAAGCGAGCUGCCUGGGAAGUACGGUCGCAAGGCUGAAACUUAAAGGAAUUGGCGGGGGAGCACAGCAACGGGUGGAGCGUGCGGUUUAAUUGGAUUCA